Molecule: long non-coding RNA, 2245 nt
Organism: Raphanus sativus (radish)
Lineage: Eukaryota; Viridiplantae; Streptophyta; Magnoliopsida; Brassicales; Brassicaceae
Exons: 3
Source: RefSeq, a predicted model, not a curated record
GCCUCUUGAGUUCCUCCUCACUUAUUCAACAUAAAAACUACAAAAAUUCUUUACGAACAGUUCACCAUCAUUAAUUCUUUUGGUGAGACUAAAUAUAGCAUCGAAGGUUAUAUACAUGAGAUCUGUCUGCUAUGAUUCACUGUUGAUCUCCACCACCACACAAAACACAUCCCUAGCUAUGAACGACUCUGAACUGUUCAUCUCCACCUCCACACAAAACACAUCCGCCGUCAUAAAGCUCGCAGCGGAGAUCAAGUGAAAAUAGGCUUGAUUCUCACUACACUCUGAAGAAACGAACAUAUACGUAAUUGACCAACUUAGCCAAUGUACACAAAGGUUUAUAUCUUGGUUCACAAUUUUCUAAGCGUCAUUUCAAAUUCUCAUACUCAUACAUGGGUCUACCACAAAUAGACAAGCAGCAACGCUUCUGUGCCAUUUUUGCUACUCUUCAUUUACAUGUACGGCCUGUCGAAGUUUGAAAACAGAGGUAGUAGCGGCUAAUACUGAAGGAAGAGCUAUAGACUGGAAUUGGAGUUUCACCAAGCUUAAGUCAAAACUAGUAGACAUGUGUCAAAGUUUUCUCCAAAGGAUGCUGUGAUAAAUUAAUUUUCUGAUUUUGAGUGGUAAGUUUAAGGAUCAGAGAUUAGGGUUGAGAGGAGCACCUAAACUAACAACCAAGAAGCUAUCACAUGUUUGUUCUUUUCGUCAAUCUGAUUGUUAAUUGGAUAAAUGAUGACAUGGUUUGUGUCCCUACAGUUUCUCUUCAGAUGGAAGAAUCAAAGAAGAACCCAAUAGUAUCUAUUACAUAUACAUCUCCAGCAAACAAUUUUUCUAUGGGUCACCAGUGGGUUAAAGCAACGAAAGGGCUAAGUAAGUUUGGUAUACACUGCGGGUUACAUCGUCCAUGCUCAUGCGCAGACUAUCCGUUAAGUUAGUUGUUGCUUGCAACCCAUGUUUUUCUUUUAAAAAAAAAGUUAAGUGUAGGAUUGUGUCGGAGAGCGUUAAUAACGUAUCUCUUAUUCCAGAGCAUAUGGGAGUCGAAAGGAUGACAAACCAAAUUGUGAUGUCUUUACUUUUGAGAAAUCCAAAAUGAAACUGUUGAGGCAUGUGUCAUUUGUGGAUUCUCUGGUAUGAUUAGUUUUAUGGUUCUCUUCAUUUCUUCUUCAUUUGCUAUUUUUCAAAGCUUGAGAUAUCAACGAUCUGUAAGUUUUUUUCUGUAUUGUACUGAUGUUGUUGUUCUCCACCUGCAUGUGUUUGAGUCGAAUUCAAUUGGGUGUGGGAUUUGAAGGAGGAGAGGGUUGAUGGAAAAGUUAUACAUUUUCCCAUCCAUUGGCUUCUCUUUUCUCUGUUUCAGUUCUUACUAAUGAACCUUAUGUUAUGUUCUUUAGAGACGCUAUUUUCUUAUGGCGACAAUGCUCAACCAAUCAGCUAUAAUGGAUGGUGGACUUCCUCUAAUCACUGCAAAUGAGACUUGUCCACAAUCACAAACUUCUUAACAUCUUGCUCCUGUUGAGAUUAUUCAACCGAAAUCCUCUGUAACAGAUUGAUCUUAUUCAAGAGAUUGAUAUUAAUCUGCACGAGGCAGUUCAGAAAAUUUAUAAUGGUUUGUUUUCUUUGACCUUACUCCUAACUAUAAACAAGUACUCGAUGGAGACAUGAAACAGAGAGUAGUUAUAUGCAGACAAAUAACUCUAUAGAGGUUUUUUAUUUUAUUGAAUCUACUUAAACUAUGUUUAGGUUGCACCAGAAUCAAGCUUCUAUGACUUCCGAAGAACUCUACCUGCACCACAAGAUGAAGAGAGCGGCUAUGAGCUACUAGCCUACUACCAUGAUACAAUCUGGAAAGGACUUCCGUAAUUCUUGAGGUGUGUUGCCACGGUUGACGGUUCUAGCGAACACUGGAAUUAAUGAGUGUGUUCCUUACAAUGCACGUCUCAUUAAAAUCUUCUUGGAUGGGUGGAGUGGUCCCAUCAAGUCCUUAGUAACAAUGCAGGCCUCUUCUCUCUCAAAUUCCAUAAAGAUGUAGACCAAGGCUCUAGCCUUUGUUGGGAAGACAACAGUUUGAGUCUGAUGUGUAUGAUAAACAAUAUAUAAGACUAGAAGUACAUAUUUGAGUUCCAAAGCUAACAGUCUACUGAGAACAUUUGAGGGUUGUUAGCAUUACAUGUGACUACUUUUUGGAAAAAAAGAUUAGAACUAAAUAUCAUGUAGAUGACGCAUGUACUGGUGAGUGAAACAAUAUUGA